UGGGGAAUAUUGGACAAUGGGCGAAAGCCUGAUCCAGCAAUGCCGCGUGAGUGAUGAAGGCCCUAGGGUUGUAAAGCUCUUUUACCCGGGAUGAUAAUGACAGUACCGGGAGAAUAAGCCCCGGCUAACUCCGUGCCAGCAGCCGGGGUAAUACAGGGGGGGCAAGCGUUGUUCGGAAUUACUGGGCGUAAAGGGCCAGUAAGCGGCCAACUAAGUCACACGUGAAAUCCCCAGGCUUAACCUGGGAACUGCGUGUGAUACUGGAUGGCUUGAAUUCGGGAGAGGGAUGCAGAAUUCCAGGUGUAGCGGUGAAAUGCGUAGAUAUCUGGAGGAAUACCGGUGGCGAAGGCGGCAUCCUGGACCGAGAUUGACGCUGAACGGCGAAAGCUAGGGGAGCAAAC
This 401-nucleotide ribosomal RNA is filed under the name uncultured bacterium. RNAcentral's name for it is "bacterial SSU rRNA". It matches the Rfam family "Bacterial small subunit ribosomal RNA", at positions 355 to 773 of the family's 1533-position model. The record is from RNAcentral.